UACGUAGGUGGCAAGCGUUGUCCGGAUUUAUUGGGCGUAAAGCGAGCGCAGGCGGUUUCUUAAGUCUGAUGUGAAAGCCCCCGGCUCAACCGGGGAGGUUCAUUGGAAACUGGGAGACGUGAGUGCGGAAGAGGAGAGUGGAAUUCCAUGUGUAGCGGUGGAAUGCGUAGAUAUAUGGAGGAACACCAGUGGCGAAGGCGACUGUCUGGUCUGUUACUGACACUGAGGCACGAAAGCGUGGGUAGCAAACAUG
Molecule: ribosomal RNA, 253 nt
Filed under: uncultured bacterium
Lineage: Bacteria
Description: partial 16S ribosomal RNA
Rfam family: Bacterial small subunit ribosomal RNA
Source: RNAcentral